This 1886-nucleotide long non-coding RNA is filed under the name Homo sapiens (human). RNAcentral's name for it is "HSALNT0098675". Lineage: Eukaryota; Metazoa; Chordata; Mammalia; Primates; Hominidae. The record is from RNAcentral.
UCACGUUGGGUGUUAGGACUUCAACGUAGAAAUUUUGGAGGGACACAAACGUUUAGUCCAUAGCAACGUAAAAUUGGGAAACACUGCUCUAAUUUUAACCCUUCUCCCCUACCCUAGGACACACUUUGACCUCCUGGAGCACCCUGAACCCCAUGGCAGUCCUAACCUAGCAAGACCCAGUGACAUGCAGUCAGCUUGGACUCACAAGAGAACACUGAAUUACAAUGCAUCCUGCUGCCUGGGGUACCCAUUCUGGCCCUGUCAGGUCCUUGAAUGCUGAGGGCACUGAGGAUGCAUUCACUCUCCAGGACACACAGACCCUCCAAGAGGCUCUGACCUCUGUACCUUACACUCAGCACAACAUCUUGGGCUCACAAUCACUCUGUGACCCUCUAAGUCACCCAGACCAUGAGGACAUGGUGAGAUUUGGGAAAUUCUAACCUUUUAAGGAAUUCCUGACCUUACAGAAUCUAGACCGUCAAGGGCAUCUUGUCUUCCUGCCUGUUCAGAGCCCCCAAUUUGCUUGAAUCUUGCAAAGUGCUGUUGACACUGAAAAACCACUCAACAUGCCAACCCCAACCCAGGAAAUACCCUGACCACACUAGCCUGAUCCAUAGGAUAUUUUGACGAAGAAAAGACAUAUCCAGGUCUCCCAAAGCACUCUGACCAUCCAACAUGCCUUUGACACAGGGGAUGUCUUAAUGCCAGGGCUCUCCAACCUUCCAGUGUACUCUGGUUGUCUCAGCCCUAGAGUUGUCAGUAGGCACCCUAGUCACUGUCACUCUCCCACUCUCCCAAUACACAGACAGCCCAGCACAGCUUCAACACACUAGGACCCCCUGAAUCCAAAAGGUGAUUAUUCUAACUCUUGAGAUUCUGUCCUCUCAAGGCAACUAUUCCCUGCAAGACCCUCUGUAGAAUACACAUUCCCAGAACUACCGGAACAUCUUCACCUCUACCAUACUCUCACCCCUCUGUAGAAUACACAUCCCAGAACUGCCAGGACACCUUCACUCUGCCAUACUGUCACCCCUCUGUAGAAUACACAUUCCCAGAACUGCCAGGACAUCUUCACUUCUGCCAUACUCUCACCCCUCUGUAGAAUACACAUCCCAGAACUGCCAGGACACCUUCAUUCUGCCAUACUCUCACCCCUCUGUAGAAUACACAUCCCAGAACUGCCAGGACACCUCCACUCUGCCAUACUCUCACCCCUCUGUAGAAUACACAUCCCAGAACUGCCAGGACACCUUCACUUCUGCCAUCCCAGAACUGCCAGGACACCUUCACUCUGCCAUACUCUCACCCCUGCCUAGCACACUGUGCUCAUCCAGGACCCUCUGAUUUCCUGAAAAUGCUUUGAUUGCACAAGAAUACCUUGGCACUCUACUCCAUGACAGAUCCAUUCAAGUCUACCCAAACCUUCAAGGACCACCUGAGCUCCAGAAAACCUUGAUCUCCCGCAUUCAAAUACCAAAAGUAUAUGCUGACCUACCUGAAAACCUUCACAGCUCUGGACUCCCAGAACAUCCAGGAGCCUCUGAAUCACGCAGCCAGACCAACCUCCAAAACAUCCUAACUCCAUGCAAGUGGUGUGAUCUUCCAGGACAGUCUGACCUCGAAGCUGGUGAUGUUGUAAGGAUACUUCAAGUGUUCUGACAUGAUGAAAAUGCCUGUAGGCCCAGAACACCUGCCUGCCCUGACGCCCUGUCUCUCCAAUACCCCUGCCUUCCCAAUACCCCUGCCUUCCCAAGAUGCUCCAAGUCUCCCAGACUCUCUGACUUUCACCAUUAAGAUCUCAUCUGAUCCUAUGUGAUCUCUUUGGAUCCUCUUAACACCCUGUUCCCCAGGGUCCUCUGACCUUUUAAAAUCCUACAAGAUGCCGG